RNAcentral lists this long non-coding RNA (395 nucleotides) under Homo sapiens (human). RNAcentral describes it as "long non-coding RNA NONHSAT244403". Lineage: Eukaryota; Metazoa; Chordata; Mammalia; Primates; Hominidae. The record is from RNAcentral.
UAGACUGAAUUGCACUUUUUAUCUUCUUAAGAAGGACUAAAAAAGCUGCGAGGCCUGGCAGGGGAUCAGGGAGGAUGAGUGUCCUGAGCAGAGAGGUAGGGUUACCAGGUAUUUCUGUUUGCCUUGAACUGGUCACAUAGCCCCAGUGCCCCUCAGCAGAGAGACAGGGUGAAUGAAGGAGCUGGUGUAGUCAGUCCUAGAGGAGACACACAGAUGCCUCUGAGAAAGCCGGUUGCAGAUGACACACGCCCAGGCUCAGUGCAGGUGACCUGUGGGCAUGGAAAGUAGUACAAUUCAGGGAUGUUUGCUUAUCGCUUAUUAUGUAUUUAUAAUGGUGUCGUAUGGAAUAUUUUAUUGAAAAGGCCAGAAAGGUCUUCUUUACCCACGUGUUUCUG